AGAAUCAACGCUGGCGGCGUGCCUAACACAUGCAAGUCGAACGAGAAAGUGGAGCAAUCCAUGAGUACAGUGGCGCACGGGUGAGUAACACGUGACUACCUACCCUCGAGUGGGGAAUAACCUCGGGAAACCGGGGCUAAUACCGCAUAACAUCUACGGAUCAAAUGCGAAAGCAGCUUGAGGAGGGGGUCGCGGCCGAUUAGCUAGUUGGUGAGGUAAUGGCCCACCAAGGCAAUGAUCGGUA
RNAcentral lists this ribosomal RNA (244 nucleotides) under uncultured bacterium. RNAcentral's name for it is "partial small subunit ribosomal RNA". It matches the Rfam family "Bacterial small subunit ribosomal RNA", at positions 26 to 285 of the family's 1533-position model. The record is from RNAcentral.